RNAcentral lists this ribosomal RNA (253 nucleotides) under uncultured bacterium. Its description in RNAcentral is "partial 16S ribosomal RNA". It matches the Rfam family "Bacterial small subunit ribosomal RNA", at positions 524 to 776 of the family's 1533-position model. The record is from RNAcentral.
UACGUAGGGUGCAAGCGUUGUCCGGAAUUAUUGGGCGUAAAGAGCUCGUAGGCGGUCUGUUGCGUCGGCUGUGAAAACCCGGGGCUCAACUCCGGGCCUGCAGCCGAUACGGGCAGACUAGAGUUCGGCAGGGGAGACUGGAAUUCCUGGUGUAGCGGUGAAAUGCGCAGAUAUCGGGAGGAACACCAGUGGCGAAGGCGGCUUUCUGGUCUGCUCUUGACGCUGAGGCGCGAAAGCUAGGGUAGCAAACGGG